RNAcentral lists this unclassified non-coding RNA (215 nucleotides) under Hevea brasiliensis (rubber tree). The record is from RNAcentral. Lineage: Eukaryota; Viridiplantae; Streptophyta; Magnoliopsida; Malpighiales; Euphorbiaceae.
GUUAUGUUGAGGCUAUCCUUUUGAAAAAGUUGAACUGUGAGAACUUUACAUCAAAAAAUCCCAUCAGAAGUUUAAUCUAAUCUACAGAUUUGGGUGAUGAGGCAGACCCUGAGAAAAUGUGUCCUAUCUGAUAUGCAAACUUGUUAGUCAAUGCAUCUUUAUGAAUAAGUGGUUCGGAGGACCUGGUUGAAUGCGGUAGCAAAACCGGAGUCGUU